UACAUUACACUAGCUAGCGCGCUGAUGCAAUUUACCCUAGCGCGUAAUUUCCCUCCUAAACUUUGGGAAAUUCUAGAACCCAAAUUCCUUACAGAAGAAAAAAACACUAAAGCAACAAAAUUUCUGGAACCCAAAUCCUUCUUCUUUCUCGGACAAAAAACCUAAACCCUUUUUGUUCGUUUCUUCGCUCAAUUAUCUGCCUGACCUUGAAUUAUUCUUCCCAGACUAAAGCAACAAAAUUAAGAAAAAAACCAUAAAGAUUCCAAAGCUUCCAUUGCCGGCGACCUUUGCAGAUACACGACCAUUGCUGUAAUACAAACGCCGACGACCUUCUCAACGAGGACUGCUCUUUGUCUCAGUAAGCUAGGAGACUUAUCCCGGAGGAUUGCCAGUCAACCAAAAGAGGAUCAACAAGGGGUUGUCCGAACUGAAGGUUGUUGAAGAACAAAUGGAUUAGAUAUGGAGGAAAAAUAACUUUUUGGUGGUGCAUGGAUCUCGGAUGUGUAAUUAGUUGGCCAUUUUGAUGUAUGUUUUUGUGAUCGUAGAUACGUAAGUAACUUGUAAUACGUUACUUUGGGGAUGCUUAUAUAAGUACUAGGAAAGUACUUAAAUUCAUUUUGUAGAAUUUCAAGAGAUUGGAAAUGUUUAUAUUUAUGGUCUCAUUAAAAAUGUAAAUUUAUCAUCUUAGAUUUGCAUUUUGACUUUAAACAGUGUGUUAUUAUAGGUAUUAAUUAAAAAAGCAGGUGUUUAAUUUUUAUA
Molecule: long non-coding RNA, 759 nt
Organism: Spinacia oleracea (spinach)
Lineage: Eukaryota; Viridiplantae; Streptophyta; Magnoliopsida; Caryophyllales; Amaranthaceae
Exons: 3
Source: RefSeq, a predicted model, not a curated record